AUAGCAACACACAGACCUCCACUGACAGAUGGCUGGUGGCUGUGCAUGAGGUCCAUUGGCUGGAAUCGAACCGGGUCUCCCUCAUGGAAGGCGAGAUUCCUACAGCUGAACAACUGCUGCCCUCAUUAUGAAUGAAUUAGAGUGUCUCUUUUCUUGGGACAGAAAAUGGCCAGGAUCAUACAAAUGACAGAGGGUGUUUUCCUCAUUUUAUUGGAACUCAGCCCCAUUCAGAUCUGUUUCUGGAUACCUCCUUGGCCCUCCCUAGCAGAGACCCAAACAAGGGUCAUGGGGCACAUCCUUGACAGAUGUCAAAUCUUACUCUCUUCUCUUGGGCUCUGGGACUUGAGACAGGAAGUCGGAGGGAAAGGGGAGGGACUUCUCUGCUCCUUGGCCUGGCCUCCUAUGGGGCUCUGGACAGCUGGGUGGUCAGUUCCACUUUGCCCAUCCCAUUCUGUUCCUCCAGUGUCUUCAGUCACUGCACGUGCUUCUCGUUGUUUCAAGUCCUACUUCCUCAGUGGCCAGACCAUGUAACAGGGAGUUAUGAGUUUAGGAGAAAGCAGCUCCAUAGGGCAGGCUCUCACCCCACCCUGGUUACCAUGAAGAUAAGGAUGUGUCAGCUGGUGUCAGCUGGUCACAGCCUCCAGGGGUGCAGCAGGAUUCGAAGUCCUAGAGAUUAUGUGAAGUCUGGAGCCUCACCUCUGGCAGCUCAGCCUCAAGAUCUUCCUGACUCACCGCCAUGUCUGAGUCUCCAUAGCCCCUGGAGUUUGGACUGUGUUCUUUGGCAUUUAUUGAGACUUGGUCUUGAGUGUUUUUCAGACUUCUUCCUGAAUAUCUGUGCGUGUGUACAUGCAUGCGUGUGAGAGAGGCAUAUGCAGACAGACAGAACGGGAAAGAGUGACACAGGGAGACAGAAGAAUAUACUACCUGUAAGAGAUCCUCUGAGGCCAGAAACUUUCAGCCCCUCAAACUGGGGCUCCCUGAAGGGAGAGCUGUGUCUCCCCGCUCCCCGUCAGACUGGGACUGCCUAUAGGCAGGGCUGUGUCUCCUCCUCAGAGUGGGACUCCCACAGGGCAGGGCUGUGUCUCCCCCUUAGACUGGGGCUCCCUGAAGGCAGGGCUGUUUUGCCUCAGACUGGGGCCCCCUGGGCACAAGGCUGUGUCUCCCCCUCAGACUGGGGCUACCUGAGGGCAAGGUUGUCUCCCCUUCAGACUGGGGCUCCCUGAGAGUAGGGCUGUGACUCCCCCUCAGAUGGAGGCUCCCUGAGGGCAGGGUUGUAUCUCCCCUCAGACUGGGACUGCCUAGGGGCAGGGCUAUGUCUCCCCCCUCAGACUGGGGCUUUCUUAGGGCAUGGCCAUGUCUCCCUCUCAUACUGGGGCUCCUUGAGGGCAGGGCUGUCUCCCCGUCAGACUGUGGCUCCCUGAGGCAGAGGGCAGGGGCUGUAUUCCCCUUUCCCCUCAGGCUGGGGGUCCCUGAGAAGCUGAUCUAUCUAGGAAUGAAGAAUACUUUCAAACCACAAAAAGGAGCUCUGGUGUGGCAGUGGCGAAGUCCUGGGCUGCUAACCGAAAGGCCUAUGGUUCAGCUGUGCUGGAGAAAGAUGUGAUGAUCUGCUUCUGUAAAGAUUCAUGGUCUUGAAAAUCCUAUGGGGCAGUUCUAUUCUGUCCUAUAGGGUUGCUAUGAGUCGGAAUCGACUCAAUGGCGAUGGGGGUUUUUUUUUUUUAAUAAGUACUCUAUAUGUACACUACGUGUGACGAGUCCAAGCACUUCCCCUAAGUCUUCAGGGGCUUCUAUAAAAAUGCCCAGGGAAUAACACCCCAGUUCUCUGCUGGAGUUCUGGGAGUUCCAGCUUGGGGUUCCUGGUUAACACACAUAGUUCAGAUGGACUUGCAGGCCUGGGACUCCCCGUGGGACUGCCCAGCCCGCCAGCUGCCUCCUAGCCCUUCCUCUUAUUCACGUGGUUCUUUUCCUCCCCUUGCUGUGGGGCAGAGGGGGUUGGAGUCUGGAACCUGCAGACCAAGGCAAUCACUGACAGAAUAGUCCUCCUUGGCCCCCACAUCAGCCAACCGGAUUCACAGGCCCGGGGAAUGGGCUGAGGGGCAGCUUGCUCAGGACUGGACUCAAGCAGGACCUCUGGUUUCCUCCUUUCUUGCUUGGCCACCCAUGGGAAUAACAGCUGGCUCACUGCUCACUCCUUGGCACCACCUGGAUCCAGAAGGGCAGGCCCCUUCUCGCCUGUCAUGACACCGCCUUGGAGAAGGAAGUGGGGGAGAGGUCCAGGAGCCAGGAAAGAUAAGGAAGAGAAGGACCAGGAGUAGGAAGAAAACAGGGGAAGAUCAGGAGGCAGCCCCUGUUGGGUAUCAGCAGUAGCCCGAAGAACUGUGAAGAUGCAGCAGCAAAGGCUGGAAAGUGAGUGUGCAAGUUCUUAAGUGUUAUUUCAAGAUGAAAAACACUCAUGGAGAUCUGCAAAGGGCUCGCCAACAAACAUCAUACCACAAACGACUGAAAUUAUUUCCGACUGCCUUAUAAAAUGAAAUGGCAAUAACUAAGUGGAGCACAAAAACGAAAGCUCACAGGAGAUAAAAAGAAAAGGAUUUGUGGAUCCCUAAAGGUGGAUUUAGCGACUGGCACAACUCAAAUAUGAUAAACAUGAAAACAGCUCAAUUCACAGAGGUGGUAUGUUGCCGUAUUUAAACUGAAGACAUGGUUUCGACUUAACUCGUGAACUGGAAACACAAAUUAAUGAAGAACAGUAUUGGAAAGUCAUUUUCUCAUACAGAUCAGCUAAGUAUUGUUUUAAGAUACAGAUCUCCAUCAGAUGGAUGAACGGUUUAUCACAUUUACUAAUUUAAAAAGUCAUACCAAUGAAGAAAUUGCAAAUAAAAUACUUCACUAUGUGAAGUUUGCAAAAUUGAUUUUUGUAAGUGCAGAGGCCAGUCCUACGACAAUGCUGCCAACAUGCCAGGGUGCUAUAAAGGCGUGCAACAGAAAAUUUUAUAAUGUAGUAAAUAUGCCAUUUUCAUACCAUGGGCUGUGCAUUCCCUUAAUUUUGGAGGAUGUAGCGCAGUAGAUUGUUGUCUGGAAGCAGAUGAUUUUUUUCUACUGUUCAGUUACUCUACACAUUUUUUAUCACCUUUAUUCACCUACGGGCAGUUCUUAAAACAUAGGCAAUGAUCGAGUAUUAAACACCUUUUUAACACAUGUUGGGAAGUGCAUGCUGUAGCAAUGAGUGUAAUCCUGGAAUCGUACACUCAAAUUCUAGAUGCCUUAGAAAAUAUUGCUGAAGACUAGACACAAAAAGGAAACACCAAAAGAGAAGCUGAAAACAUCGCCAAAAAAUGUGAACACUAGAGUAGGCAUUUAUGUUGGUUAUGUGGGAUAAUAUAUUGCAGCAUUUUCAUCGGAUGAGUCAAGCUUUCCAAGAGUCAGAAGUAAAUUUAAAGACAUGCACAGAUCUCUACCAGUCAUCAACAGGGUAUUUACAUAAUUAAAGAGAAAAUUUUGAAAACACAACAAAACAAAUACUGCCAAAUACUGAUUAUCAAGCAGCCUGCCUUCAUAGGAGCAUUAGAAAGAAACAAGUAAAUAAUGGAAGUGCUCCAGAAGUAUUGCGUGCCGGAGAUCAUUUUUGGGUAACCACAUUCUGCACCACCACUGAUGCACUUGAAUCUUGCAUGUAAAGAAGGGCAAAAGUGUAGGAAGUUCUUUCAAAUAGAUUUUCCUUCUUAAACAAUGUGGAUAUACCUGAUGAAGAAGGCAUGAAGGCAUCCCAGAAAUCAGUGCAGGCUUAUCUCAAUGACUUAAAUACAAACCUUUACAGAGAAGUACGAUAAUUUCAUUUUUACGUGAGAACUAAGACUACAGAUUCAGCAAAGACAUAUUUUAUUCACUUAGUUAUGUAUGAAUCCAUAAAAGAAGACAAAAUACAAUGCGUGUUUCCCAGUGUUGAAAUUGCUUUACACAUAUUCCUGACUUUAAUGAUCACAAAACUGCACAACAGAACGCUCAUUUUCGUUCCUCAAGAGACUCAAAAACCCUCAGUGUACAACAAGGAUUCAAGAAAGACUCGAUUCAUUGUCCUUAUUAUGUGUGGAAGUAGAUAUUUUUUGGCAGCUUAUUGUGAUGAAAUCAUUGAAGAAUUUGCAAGUGCAAAGAAUAGAAGGAAGUGUUUUAAAUUAUAACAUGUUAGAGGUGAAAGAUUUUUCUGAAAAAAAAUUAAAUUUUUCUGAAAAUAAAAUAUUAAAUUUUCUUUUAUGACAUUUUUCAAUUUGUUCGUUUAUAAUUAUAGUAUUUAUAACCAAACAAGCAUCAAAACUGCAUUAUGAGCCAUUUAAAGGAAAAUUGGUGACAGUUAAUUUUUCGUGGUGGGAGAUCAUCAGAAUUUUACAUUGACUGUAGAAACAACUAAGCUCACUGACUCUUUUUCUUUAUUGUAGAAUAGGUGGAAUAUUCUUUUUGUAGAAAAUGGGGUAUAUAGUAAAAACCUUAGUACCCUGCAGCCACUAAAAAUUUUAUAAUCCAAUUUAUCUCAUUCAGCUAAAAUGGCAUACGCCAUUUUGGUGUUCAAUCGCUGAUACUAUAGUCACAUUUAAAAAGAAGGUACAUCGUGGAUAGCUAACACACGCACACACAUAUAUACAUGUGUAUAUAUAACUCAGAAAUCCUGGUGGCAUAGUGGUUAUAGAGCUACAGUUGCUAAGCAAAAGGCCGGCAGUUCGAAUCCACCAGGUGCUCCUUGGAAUCACUAUGGGGGCAGUUCUACUCUGUCCUUUAGGGUUGCUAUGAGUCCGAAUUGACCCGACAGCAAUGGAUUUGGUUUUUGGUUUUAUAUAUAACUCACACAUCCUGCUUGAAUGCAUGAAUAAGCAGAGGAGGGAGCACCACAAAUUAUCAGUGUUCAGGGCCCUCACAUGCCUUAAUCUGACUCUGAUGUCACUAGUGCCCUAAAAAUGGCCAUUUCUAAGCAGCUCCUUUUAAUGCAUUGAGUCUUUCAAAUCUAUUUAAAAUGCAAAAUGGACAUAGUUAUCGUUUAAGCUUCUAGUAUGCUCUCCAAAACGGCUUCCAUUCCAGGCUCUAGAAUAUGUGUUUUUAACUCGAUAUCAAGGGAUGCCUUCAGGGCAGCCCAUGAAUCCUUUGAAGCCGUUAGCCAAAGUGUAUGAGCAUUUGAGUAUGGGCAUCUUUUCUGGGGUGAUAAUCCAUAGCCUU
This is a long non-coding RNA of Loxodonta africana (African savanna elephant), 5199 nucleotides long. RefSeq lists it as uncharacterized. NCBI's taxonomy places the organism in Eukaryota, Metazoa, Chordata, Mammalia, Proboscidea, Elephantidae. The transcript is spliced from 4 exons. The record is from RefSeq and is a predicted model, not a curated record.